UGGGGAAUAUUGCGCAAUGGGCGAAAGCCUGACGCAGCGACGCCGCGUGGAGGAUGAAGGUCUUCGGAUUGUAAACUCCUGUCAGGUGGGAAGAAAAACUUUUUUUUAAUAGAAAAGAGUUAUGACGGUACCAUCAGAGGAAGCACUGGCUAAUCUCGUGCCAGCAGCCGCGGUAAUACGAGAGGUGCAAGCGUUAUUCGGAAUUAUUGGGCGUAAAGGGCGCGUAGGCGGUUUGUUAAGUUUGUUGUUAAAGCCUCUAGCUUAACUGGAGAUAAGCAAUAAAAACUGGCAAACUAGAGUGUGAGAGAGAGAAGUGGAAUUCCCGGAGUAGCGGUAAAAUGCGUAGAUCUCGGGAGGAACACCAAUGGCGAAGGCUGCUUCUUGGCUCAUAACUGACGCUGAGGCGCGAAAGCGUGGGGAGCAAACAGG
This 429-nucleotide ribosomal RNA is filed under the name uncultured bacterium. Its description in RNAcentral is "bacterial SSU rRNA". It matches the Rfam family "Bacterial small subunit ribosomal RNA", at positions 355 to 776 of the family's 1533-position model. The record is from RNAcentral.